RNAcentral lists this long non-coding RNA (1151 nucleotides) under Sorghum bicolor (sorghum). Its description in RNAcentral is "long non-coding RNA (SBIC_LNC000518)". Lineage: Eukaryota; Viridiplantae; Streptophyta; Magnoliopsida; Poales; Poaceae. The record is from RNAcentral.
UGUAGCAUAGUAAAAUUUGAUUUUUUUUCAAACGACCUUGAAUUGAGGAACAACCAAAAUCUAAGUUGUACAUCUCAAAGAGUUAUACAAUUUAUAGUUGAUAACUUUUUUUUAUUUCAAAUCAUCUAUCCAACAAAAGUUAUAUUUAAAUUUCUCACAUUUAAAAUUCAAAGUUUUCAAACGAUCUAGGAUGGAGAAGCAACUGAAACCAAAGUUAUAGAUCUCAACGAUAUCUACAACUUUGUAGUUGAGAACUUUUUUAUUUGAAUUGGUUCAAGGUCCCAAAUAUCAUUUCAAAAUCAGAUAAAAGAUAAUAUGAGGGGGGAUGUUCAUAUGGACACAAGUAACUUAUGGUGGAGUGGUUAGAGGAGAUACACGCGCGAAAAAUCGUAUGCCUUGUGCUUUUGACGGCACGUGUUUGCUUGGUGGGAUUUGCCUUGAUCAUUUUUUUUUUUGCGAUUUUUUAGUCACAGAUUGUUGAUUUCUGGACAACGAUUUGUAGAAGCAGCUUAAAAUACAACUGUCUCUACAAAUCGAUUUCUACUAUGGGACUUCUAUUCUAGCCAUCCCUAUAAAUAGAGAAUUCACGGCAGAAUCUACAACAUUGAGGAUCAUCAUAACGUUGGCAGUUAAUUAGAAGGUGAUUAAUAUAUGUUUUUUAAGCCGUCAGUGAUAUCCAAAAUUUAUGAUCAUAUAUACUAAAUUAUACUAGCUUAAGAAGGUUCAUGAUCGAACCUUGUGAAUGAUAAUACUGUCGUCACCGUAAUAAGAGACACUGACACAAUUAUCUUACUAUUACUAUCACUAAGCCAUAUUACUCUAUCACUGUUGGGUCUAAUCUAGCAUCAUUACUCAAUUCAGAUCCAACAGAGAGUAAUCAGAAGUAAUGGGCUUGCCAGUUCUAGACCCACCAGUGAUCGAUUAUGUAAUAAAAAAUAGAAAUAACAGACUACUGCCACUAUCGGGUCCAAAUCCAAGGCCAGAUUUUGAUUCGGUAGAGAGCAAUCCUACAUCACUGCUAAUCCAGCAUAUCACUUAUCAUUACCGGGUCUAGAACGUGUAGUGAUGUUGGCUCGGAGGUAUAGUUCCGAAGGCUUGGACCUUCAGGGUAAUGGCUAUGAAUACCGAGGCAAUAAGAAAACAAUGGUGGC